AGAGUUUGAUCAUGGCUCAGGACGAACGCUGGCGGCGUGCUUAACACAUGCAAGUCGAACGAUGGAGCCCAGCUUGCUGGGUGGAUUAGUGGCGAACGGGUGAGUAACACGUGGGUGAUCUGCCCUGCACUUCGGGAUAAGCCUGGGAAACUGGGUCUAAUACCGGAUAUGACCAAGGACUGCAUGGUUUUUGGUGGAAAGGUUUACUGGUGCAGGAUGAGCCCGCGGCCUAUCAGCUUGUUGGUGGGGUAAUGGCCUACCAAGGCGACGACGGGUAGCCGGCCUGAGAGGGCGACCGGCCACACUGGGACUGAGACACGGCCCAGACUCCUACGGGAGGCAGCAGUGGGGAAUAUUGCACAAUGGGCGAAAGCCUGAUGCAGCGACGCCGCGUGAGGGAUGACGGCCUUCGGGUUGUAAACCUCUUUCAGCAGGGACGAAGCGCAAGUGACGGUACCUGCAGAAGAAGCACCGGCCAACUACGUGCCAGCAGCCGCGGUAAUACGUAGGGUGCGAGCGUUGUCCGGAAUUACUGGGCGUAAAGAGCUCGUAGGCGGUUUGUCGCGUCGUCUGUGAAAACCCGCAGCUCAACUGCGGGCUUGCAGGCGAUACGGGCAGACUUGAGUACUGCAGGGGAGACUGGAAUUCCUGGUGUAGCGGUGAAAUGCGCAGAUAUCAGGAGGAACACCGGUGGCGAAGGCGGGUCUCUGGGCAGUAACUGACGCUGAGGAGCGAAAGCGUGGGUAGCGAACAGGAUUAGAUACCCUGGUAGUCCACGCCGUAAACGGUGGGCGCUAGGU
RNAcentral lists this ribosomal RNA (800 nucleotides) under uncultured bacterium. RNAcentral describes it as "bacterial SSU rRNA". It matches the Rfam family "Bacterial small subunit ribosomal RNA", at positions 8 to 821 of the family's 1533-position model. The record is from RNAcentral.